This 307-nucleotide ribosomal RNA is filed under the name Salmonella enterica. RNAcentral describes it as "bacterial SSU rRNA". It matches the Rfam family "Bacterial small subunit ribosomal RNA", at positions 108 to 418 of the family's 1533-position model. The record is from RNAcentral. RNAcentral also lists the same sequence under 3 other names. Lineage: Bacteria; Pseudomonadati; Pseudomonadota; Gammaproteobacteria; Enterobacterales; Enterobacteriaceae.
GAGUAAUGUCUGGGAAACUGCCUGAUGGAGGGGGAUAACUACUGGAAACGGUGGCUAAUACCGCAUAACGUCGCAAGACCAAAGAGGGGGACCUUCGGGCCUCUUGCCAUCAGAUGUGCCCAGAUGGGAUUAGCUUGUUGGUGAGGUAACGGCUCACCAAGGCGACGAUCCCUAGCUGGUCUGAGAGGAUGACCAGCCACACUGGAACUGAGACACGGUCCAGACUCCUACGGGAGGCAGCAGUGGGGAAUAUUGCACAAUGGGCGCAAGCCUGAUGCAGCCAUGCCGCGUGUAUGAAGAAGGCCUU